This 378-nucleotide ribosomal RNA is filed under the name uncultured Succinivibrio sp. Its description in RNAcentral is "bacterial SSU rRNA". It matches the Rfam family "Bacterial small subunit ribosomal RNA", at positions 354 to 746 of the family's 1533-position model. The record is from RNAcentral. Lineage: Bacteria; Pseudomonadati; Pseudomonadota; Gammaproteobacteria; Aeromonadales; Succinivibrionaceae.
UGGGGGAAUAUUGGGCAAUGGGCGAAAGCCUGACCCAGCAACGCCGCGUGAAGGAAGAAGGUCUUCGGAUUGUAAACUUCUUUUAUGAGGGACGAAGGACGUGACGGUACCUCAUGAAUAAGCCACGGCUAACUACGUGCCAGCAGCCGCGGUAAUACGGAGGGUGCAAGCGUUAAUCGGAAUAACUGGGCGUAAAGGGCAUGCAGGCGGUUAUAGAAGUAGGAUGUGAAAUCCCGGGGCUCAACCUCGGAACUGCAUUCUAAACUGAAUAACUAGAGUAUUGCAGGGGGAGACGGAAUUCCAGGUGUAGCGGUGGAAUGCGUAGAGAUCUGGAAGAACACCAAAGGCGAAGGCAGUCUCCUGGGCAAAUACUGACGC